GCAGGAGCUACAAAGCAAGAUGAAGCAAGAGAGAGAUCAGUAGUUGAAUUGGACACAGAGAAAUCACGAAUAGCUCAAAGAUGAAGUUAAUCACUUUGAGGUAAUGUUGACCACAUAAACUCCCUUUGACCAAAAAUCACAACCACUCUCCAAGCAAAACUUCAUUAAGGCAAAUAUAAUAUUGAGAUUAGCCAUUAAAUAUACGCAACUAAUGUGUUUGGUUGGUGAUCAAACGAUAAAUUAAAUACUUGUUUUUCUUUUC
Molecule: long non-coding RNA, 262 nt
Organism: Tarenaya hassleriana
Lineage: Eukaryota; Viridiplantae; Streptophyta; Magnoliopsida; Brassicales; Cleomaceae
Exons: 2
Source: RefSeq, a predicted model, not a curated record